CCACCGCGCCCGGCAUUUUGUUCACUGACGUGCAUUUUGUUCACUGCUGUGCCCAUUUUCUCACAGUGCCUAGCCCAAAUAUUUCAUGACUGUUUACUAAAGGUGUAUUUCUGAUUCUAUGUAAGUGAACAGAGAUGUGAUGAGAGGAUAAAGGGGAAAUGCACCCCCUCAAAAAGCUUAUUACUUCACAAGGUAUCCCAUGUUGAGAUAAACGCAGAGUAAACCUCAUGCCUAAAUAUGUCCUGUUUCCUCAAAGAGGCCUGCCUAGUACCAGGGUGCCUUGUGAAAGGUUCAGAUAAGCAAUUUAAUGCAAAUCAUAAAAUGCAAACCCACUUCUUUCUGGGAUGGUAAUGUUGUAGCACCCUAAAAGAGAGAGCGUUUGAAUUAUUUUGGAGAAUAUUCUGCUUCAAGGACCUAGAGUCAUAACUCACACAAAAAAGUCAAGAUUUAAAUAUAAAACAGGGGCUCAAGAGUGAGCCAUGUUGAGAUUGUAUAUCAGUUUUCUCUUGCCCUGAUUUGAAAAUCUUUCACUGUUUAAAUCUGUUGAUUUCUAAAUUGUAACUAUAAUGCCGGGACAGGAGAUGGGACCCCUAGUUUUUAUUUAGCACUUGACUGAAAUGUAACAUGACUUCAAGAUUCUUUUAUAUUAAAAAAAAAGUCAGCUAUUGUUCAUCUCCAGUGAAAUGAAUAAAACUUAGAUGACAGGGACUUAAAGGUAGACAAAAAGAUGUAGGACAGAGCCAAGGAAUUUAAACAAUUUUCAGAGUUCAGGGAAAAUGAUAAAAUCUCUUAAUCUAGAGAUAUUUAAGAAGAAGGCAGGGAUCUUUUCUCUAAAAUUGGGGGAGCAAAGGGUACUUCUUCGUGAACAACGGUAUCCAUCUAGUCUUUUUUGUACUACAAUAAGAAUAGCAAGACCGUGCUUCAGGAAAGCUGUCCAGUGUAAACAGGCCCCGCCUUGGAGUUCAUUGAGGACAGGUCUCUUUCUACAGAGGAGACCCAAGUGAAACUCUCUUGCUCUGGUGUUCUAGAAACUCAGUGGUGAAGGCUGAUCUGUGAUUCUUCCCCAGAUUCCUCGAAUUCAUGGGGGUUAAGGCCUAAGAUUUAACAUGCUCUUAACCUUGUUAACAAAGGUGCCUUCGUAUUGAGGAGACAUUAAAACUUAGCCACAUAAAUAUAUCUUGUCUCCUCCAGUGUUAAAAAAACAAAAAACAAAACUACUAUAAGCUGGGUGGAAUCAUGGUAAACAAAGCAUUUUCCAUUGCUUCAAGCACAGCAAAUAGAAUCUCUACCGAUAGUGCUUCUCCUUAGUUUCACCAGGGACAUUAGAUUCAUAGUGGUUCAUUUCAAAACCAUGCUUCCUCUUUCAGAGACUGUUUUGUCACCUGCAGGCUGAAGCGUUCUCCUUAGCUGAAGAUGCAAGCUUGCCCUACAGAAUGUUUGAACCUUCUGGUGGGUGCCUGGAGUUACGAAGAGAGGAGCUGCCAUUUUCUUUGCCCCGAGGAGCUGGCUCGGUGACCUCCUUCAGUCAUGGAAAGUCCCUUCCCCAGAUAGAGUCCAGCAUUCCACUGGCUUCUCCUGCUGCUAAAAUAAAACCGGGCGAAUCCCUCAGUAAACCGUGGAGCAUAAAGAGGUGAUGUGGGCACAGAACUGAGC
RNAcentral lists this long non-coding RNA (1653 nucleotides) under Homo sapiens (human). RNAcentral describes it as "HSALNT0058898". The record is from RNAcentral. Lineage: Eukaryota; Metazoa; Chordata; Mammalia; Primates; Hominidae.